This is a long non-coding RNA of Thunnus maccoyii (southern bluefin tuna), 196 nucleotides long. RefSeq lists it as uncharacterized. NCBI's taxonomy places the organism in Eukaryota, Metazoa, Chordata, Actinopteri, Scombriformes, Scombridae. The transcript has 3 exons. The record is from RefSeq and is a predicted model, not a curated record.
GAAACGCCGGCCUCGGUGACAGGCUGACGAGGCCCGACCCGAUCAGACGGCUUUGAAAGGAAAUUCUGACAGGGCGGCGGAGACAGAAGAAGCAGGCAGAAUGCAGAUCAGCCGCCAUGAUGAGACUCAGAAGCCUAGCAUUAAUUUCUGAGGACGUGGACAAGCAACGCUUCCAAGGAACGCAGGAAACAAGAGG